AGUCGAGGGGUAUGGUUCUUCGGAACCAGAGACCGGCGCACGGGUGCGUAACGCGUAUGCAAUCUGCCUUUCACAGAGGGAUAGCCCAGAGAAAUUUGGAUUAAUACCUCAUAGUAUAGCGACAUCGCAUGAUGAUGCUAUUAAAGUCACAACGGUGAAAGAUGAGCAUGCGUCCCAUUAGCUAGUUGGUAAGGUAACGGCUUACCAAGGCAACGAUGGGUAGGGGUCCUGAGAGGGAGAUCCCCCACACUGGUACUGAGACACGGACCAGACUCCUACGGGAGGCAGCAGUGAGGAAUAUUGGUCAACGGGCGCAAGCCUGAACCAGCCAUGCCGCGUGCAGGAUGACGGUCCUAUGGAUUGUAAACUGCUUUUGCACAGGAAGAAACACUGAUUCGUGAAUCAGCUUGACGGUACUGUGAGAAUAAGGAUCGGCUAACUCCGUGCCAGCAGCCGCGGUAAUACGGAGGAUCCAAGCGUUAUCCGGAAUCAUUGGGUUUAAAGGGUCCGUAGGCGGUCUGGUAAGUCAGUGGUGAAAGCCCAUCGCUCAACGGUGGAACGGCCAUUGAUACUGCUGGACUUGAAUUAUUAGGAAGUAACUAGAAUAUGUAGUGUAGCGGUGAAAUGCUUAGAGAUUACAUGGAAUACCAAUUGCGAAGGCAGGUUACUACUAAUGGAUUGACGCUGAUGGACGAAAGCGUGGGUAGCGAACAGGAUUAGAUACCCUGGUAGUCCACGCCGUAAACGAUGGAUACUAGCUGUUGGAAGCAAUUUCAGUGGCUAAGCGAAAGUGAUAAGUAUCCCACCU
RNAcentral lists this ribosomal RNA (808 nucleotides) under uncultured bacterium. RNAcentral's name for it is "bacterial SSU rRNA". It matches the Rfam family "Bacterial small subunit ribosomal RNA", at positions 60 to 874 of the family's 1533-position model. The record is from RNAcentral.